UCUUAGCCCAGAUGCAGACACUAAACCACCAACAUCAGGGAAAGGCAGCCCAGCAUCCAGGGCAUGGACGUCCAAAGGACAAAUGGCCCCUUGGCAGGUCCUGAUUAGCUUUGUAGCCAGAAUGUGCGCCUACCAGGGACCAACAGGUUCACUUGCUUUCUGCCUGGUUGAGCCUUAAGCAAGGUGCACAGGCAGACCCCAGCCCAUAAUGAAGAAGGCCAUGCAACUUGUGCGCUUGCCUGUCUGAUACCUCCUCACCCAGCGGCUGAACCCUCAGACAAUCUCAUUACACCCACUCCGGCUGCCUGGGUGCAGGAUACAGACACACAUUUCAUUCCCUGGCUGGAGUCGUGAUGGGUUAGACAGAAUUAUAUUUUACUGUUUUCCACAGGGCAGUUUUCCGGGCCUGGCACUGGGAAGGAAGAAAGGAAAACACAAGGCUCCAGAGGCCCUUCUGUGAGGGAAGCCAGAUCAAUCCUCCAAGGUGGCAAAGGCAAGUGUGCCCACUUUUGGAAGGAAGCAGAAACGUGAGUGGUCUAAUCAAGGCUAGAGACACGUACUGAUGGAUUAAUGGUGGCUACAUUCAAGUCCGGAUGUAAUAUUAUUUUGUAGUGAAUGUAAACCAUGGAGCUGAUGGACAACCCCACAUAAAUCCAUCUGAGAGUGAUUACUUGGUUUUAUUUUAAUGUUUCUGGGUGACCUCCUGGAAAUAAAGGUUGAUGUUUCUUUCUAAAUAUAGUACAGACUCCUUGGUUCCAGCCUCAAUCUACUGCAUUGCCAAGGGGCCUGGGAAUAUGUAUUUAACAAGUUCUCUAGGUGACUUAGACCUGAUGUGGAAUAUUAUUCAUCCUUAACAAGGAUGGGGAUUCCGACACCUGGGCCUGCCCCCUGCCUCACUGUGCUCUAGCCACCUGGCUGCUUCCUUUUCCUGAUUUUAAGCCAGGCUAAUUCCCCUUUCUGGACCUCUGAUACACCUAAUAAAUGCCUAUCCUAUCCCCCAGGCCUUGGCACAGCUGGCUCCUUGUCACGAUCCAGGCCUUAGUCCAGAUGCUGUGCCUGCUCCGUUGGGAGGCACCCCCCGCUGCCCUGCUCAAGCCCAUGGCUCACCACCCUCUGGAAUGAUCUAUUUGUACACUGCCCCCCUUCCCCAUGGCACAGGCCACCUCAUGCCAGGACAUUGCCUGUCUGAUUUGUGGCAAGAAGAAUGUCUGGGCAGAUGAAAGACAGCAAGUCUGGCCUAUCUAUCUUUUCAUUCUCAGCAGGCGCUAGGGAGCCUGCCACUCAGUAGGUACUCAAGAAGGUUUGCUUGGCUGAUGUUCCCAAAACCCUUCUGCAGGCAGAUAAUGCCACUAAGCCUCCAAAGUGCUAAUUACAAACUGCUCUGUUAGCUGUUCCUCAGAACAACUCAAAGAUUCUCCAAGAAUAGAGCACACUCCUUGUUGUGUCCCUGGAAUAACAAACCCAGUGUCUUGACAGCGUCUGUGACUCAGACUGUUCAUGAAGCCAGAUUUGCCAUCCUCCAAGAGUGUGCACAGGGGCACAAACCUCAGACAGAGGGCUGGAUGCUAUUAUUCAUGGCAGCAGUGGGGUGGGGGGUUGGGGGGCAUCUGGGGCCAACUUGGCCUCCUUCCCAUAGGGUGAGUUUGUGAGAAACAAGCCUGGCCCUGAAUGUGAUCCGGCAAUGUGAGGAAAUCCAUAAGACCAUCAGUGGUGGCCACCACCUCUCUAAUGAACACAGAGCAUUAGAAUUCAUCACACAUGGCUGCUACAUUGUCAUUGGAAAGUCAAUGCUCAGAAGCAGCCAGGGAAAGGUGGGAAGAGGAAGGCCCAGGGAGGCUGAGUUAUUUAAUGUGGCCACAUAGUGAGUCAAGAGCAGAAUGGUACUAGAAUCCAUAUUUCCUGGCCUGUGAUCAGGGCUUGAUCUACUGUGCCCUUGGAUAAGUAAGGGUCCUAGUACCUCCGACCACCAACAGUUGGGUUCAAAUACUCAACUCAGAAGGGAGCAAGCAGGCAGAGCUGGAUUCUGGUUUAAAAGGCCCAGCCGCGGGGAAGCUGUGUACAUGUAUGCACAUGCAAAUCCACAUGUCUACAACUUUGCCCAAGUCUUGCUCCCUCUCAAUGGGUAAGUGGUGUGGCCUAUAUUAUAGCCAGGCCUCCCAGGACUGAUGGGG
This is a long non-coding RNA of Manis pentadactyla (Chinese pangolin), 2171 nucleotides long. RefSeq lists it as uncharacterized. Lineage: Eukaryota; Metazoa; Chordata; Mammalia; Pholidota; Manidae. The record is from RefSeq and is a predicted model, not a curated record. The transcript has 3 exons.